UUUGUGGCUGCCCACUCCUGGUUAAAUUGCCUUUCUCCAUCCCUGUCUCUCCCUCAUAGCUUUCCACCUUCCCAUUUCACCGUGAGUCUGGGUCAACGCCGGCUGAAUCUGCAGACUGCAGACGUUUUAUCUCUUGUUGAGAAUCUGAUCCUGAUCCCCAGGAGCCUUGUGGAUAGUGAGCCUGGAAGCCUGGUUCUGGUGAAGUUGGUGCAGCCUCCUUCCCUCAACAGCUCUAUCUACCCCAUACCUCUGGUCCAGGGCUCCAGUUUUUCCCCUUGGAUGAAGACCUGCUGGGCUCAGGGCUUUAAAUCAGAUUUUGAUCCCUAUAUCCCACCUGAUAAGCUGUGGCGUGUUAAACUGCCUCUCAUGUCUCGAACCAACUGUCAAGCCAUAUUCCAGCUCCAAUCUGACUGUCCCAGUCCAGAGAUAACCAUGCCAAAUGGGACUCUGUGCACUGGCCCUCCUGUCACUUCCCCAGAGAUCACGGUGAGCCCUCUUUACCUCCAUCUGUCUCUCCUCCAUUUAUGUAAGCUCAAAGCCUGGUAUUUAUCCAUGAAUCUGUCUCCGUCUCCCCUGCCUUCCCUGCACAUGUGGUGCAUAUUCACCUAGUGACUUUCCUCUCUCCUUUUAGGUGGCAGAUGGCAGCCCUCUCCUUUGCUUCUACGCUGGUCAAUGGGUACUGCUAGGAGUGAUGACCUGGAGACCUUGCUCUUCUAAUGGCCUUCCUGAAGUUUAUGUCCCAAUUUAUCCCAUCAACACUUGGAUCCAGACCAAUUUUCUUAAUGUCAGUGUUAUCAAGGGUCCCUCGAAAGCCCCCCUUCCAAGUAUUCUCUCUACCCCAAUUCCUUAAUUCCUUUUGUGUCUAUACUGCACAAUCAAGGUUGCAAGUAUUUCUUCUUUCCCUUCACUUUCCCCUGCCUCAGAAUAUAAAAGAAAACCUUUGCAUCGCUGCAUCUGUAUUUAUUCAAGCAAAUAAAAACAAGU
RNAcentral lists this long non-coding RNA (984 nucleotides) under Monodelphis domestica (gray short-tailed opossum). RNAcentral describes it as "lncRNA (ENSMODG00000048425.1)". Lineage: Eukaryota; Metazoa; Chordata; Mammalia; Didelphimorphia; Didelphidae. The record is from RNAcentral.